CAGGCCUCACACAUGCAAGUCGAACGGGCACCUUCGGGUGUCAGUGGCAGACGGGUGAGUCACACGUGGGAACGUGCCCUUCGGGUCGGGAUGAGUCAGGGAAACUUGAGCUGAUACCGGAUACGCCCUUACGGGGAAAGUUUUACUGCCGAAGGAUCGGCCAGCGUCUGAUUAGAUAGUUGGUGGGGUAAUGGCCUACCAAGGCGACGAUCAGUAGCUGGUCUGAGAGGAUGAUCAGCCACACUGGGAUUGAGACACGGCCCAGACUCCUACGGGAGGCAGCAGUGGGGAAUAUUGGACAAUGGGCGCAAGCCUGAUCCAGCCAUGCCGCGUGAGUGAUGAAGGCCUUAGGGUGGUAAAGCUCUUUCGACGGGGACGAUAAUGACGGUACCGGUAGAAGAAGCCCCGGCUAACUUCGUGCCAGCAGCCGCGGUAAU
RNAcentral lists this ribosomal RNA (437 nucleotides) under uncultured bacterium. Its description in RNAcentral is "bacterial SSU rRNA". It matches the Rfam family "Bacterial small subunit ribosomal RNA", at positions 43 to 524 of the family's 1533-position model. The record is from RNAcentral.